UGCGGGAUGGUGAAAUGGUAUCACGGCAGACUCUGAAUCUGCUUUUCUAGGUUCGAAUCCUAGUCCCGCAGCCA
RNAcentral lists this transfer RNA (74 nucleotides) under Elusimicrobia bacterium GWA2_66_18. Its description in RNAcentral is "tRNA-Gln". It matches the Rfam family "tRNA". Rfam says of the family: Transfer RNA (tRNA) molecules are approximately 80 nucleotides in length. Their secondary structure includes four short double-helical elements and three loops (D, anti-codon, and T loops). Lineage: Bacteria; Pseudomonadati; Elusimicrobiota. The record is from RNAcentral. RNAcentral also lists the same sequence under 3 other names.